RNAcentral lists this ribosomal RNA (1063 nucleotides) under marine sediment metagenome. RNAcentral describes it as "bacterial SSU rRNA". It matches the Rfam family "Bacterial small subunit ribosomal RNA", at positions 8 to 1042 of the family's 1533-position model. The record is from RNAcentral.
AGAGUUUGAUCCUGGCUCAGAAUGAACGCUGGCGGCGUGCUUAACACAUGCAAGUCGAACGAGAAAGGGAUUGCUUGCAAUCCUGAGUAGAGUGGCGCACGGGUGAGUAACACGUAGAUAAUCUGCCUUCAAACCUGGGAUAACUAUUCGAAAGGAUAGCUAAUACCGGAUAAAGUCGGUUUACAUAAGUAGAUUGAUGAAAGAUUGCCUCUUCUUGAAAGCAAUUGUUUGGAGAUGAGUCUGCGGACCAUUAGCUUGUUGGUGGGGUAAAGGCCUACCAAGGCAUCGAUGGUUAGCUGGUCUGAGAGGAUGAUCAGCCACACUGGAACUGGAACACGGUCCAGACUCCUACGGGAGGCAGCAGUGAGGAAUUUUGCGCAAUGGGGGCAACCCUGACGCAGCAACGCCGCGUGAGUGAAGAAGGCCUUUGGGUCGUAAAGCUCUGUCAACUGGGAAGAAAUUAGUUUUAUUUAAUAGAUAAGACUAUUGACGGUACCAGUGGAGGAAGCGCCGGCUAACUCCGUGCCAGCAGCCGCGGUAACACGGGGGGCGCAAGCGUUAUUCGGAAUUAUUGGGCGUAAAGGGCGCGCAGGCGGUCUUGUCCGUCAGGUGUGAAAGCUCGGGGCUCAACCCCGGAAGUGCACUUGAAACAGCAAGACUUGAAUACGGGAGAGGAAAGCGGAAUUCCUGGUGUAGAGGUGAAAUUCGUAGAUAUCAGGAGGAACACCGAUGGCGAAGGCAGCUUUCUGGACCGAUAUUGACGCUGAGGCGCGAAGGCGUGGGUAGCGAACGGGAUUAGAUACCCCGGUAGUCCACGCAGUAAACGUUGUACACUCGGUGUGGCGGAUAUUAAAAUCUGCUGUGCCUAAGCUAACGCAUUAAGUGUACCGCCUGGGAAGUACGGUCGCAAGACUAAAACUCAAAGGAAUUGACGGGGGCCCGCACAAGCGGUGGAGCAUGUGGUUUAAUUCGACGCAACGCGAAGAACCUUACCAGGUCUUGACAUUGAUCGCGAUCUGCAGAAAUGCGGAGUUCUUCUUCGGAAGACGAGAAAACAGGUGGU